GACGAACGCUGGCGGCGUGCUUAACACAUGCAAGUCGAACGGUAAGGCCCUUCGGGGUACACGAGUGGCGAACGGGUGAGUAACACGUGGGUGAUCUGCCCUGCACUUCGGGAUAAGCCUGGGAAACUGGGUCUAAUACCGGAUAGGACCACUGCCUGCAUGGGUGGUGGUGGAAAGCCUUUGCGGUGUGGGGUGGGCCCGCGGCCUAUCAGCUUGUUGGUGGGGUGAUGGCCUACCAAGGCGACGACGGGUAGCCGGCCUGAGAGGGUGACCGGCCACACUGGGACUGAGAUACGGCCCAGACUCCUACGGGAGGCAGCAGUGGGGAAUAUUGCACAAUGGGCGCAAGCCUGAUGCAGCGACGCCGCGUGAGGGAUGACGGCCUUCGGGUUGUAAACCUCUUUCAGCACCGACGAAGCGCAAGUGACGGUAGGUGCAGAAGAGGGACCGGCCAACUACGUGCCAGCAGCCGCCGUAA
Molecule: ribosomal RNA, 478 nt
Filed under: uncultured bacterium
Lineage: Bacteria
Description: partial 16S ribosomal RNA
Rfam family: Bacterial small subunit ribosomal RNA
Source: RNAcentral